UCCAUCGUAUAAUACGACAGGGCGUAUCUCUCUCGAUGUUCCCACGCCAUUUCCUCCGUUUGGCCCGGCGCUAGUUACGCACGCAACAGUCUCAACAUCGUCAGUCGCCAAAUUGGCUGCAGCAGUCACAUCGACAACAACGGCGGACGCCGAUGCUACAACUAUCUAGCUGGGUUUAUGUACGGGCAUCUGUCUGCACGUGUGUGUGCGUCAAUGAGGUGGGCAGAGGAACGCAGGGCAAUAGGCGACUGGAACAUCCACAGCAAAGGCGGUAGCAGCGGAGGCGGUGGUGAUGAUAGUACAUGUUAUCGAGCCGUUAGUCAAGCGACAGGUGCUGUUCGGAAGCUGCUACUCCAUGCACGACAGUGUCAUAGAGUCAUUGUUAAAUACCGUUGGUAAUCCACGAUAAGCGGCCUAGGGAAAGCGAUGGCUUACUGCAAUACCUUGCAGCUUCUGCUAGCAGCACUCGCCAUAAGUACCAUGAAUAGUAACAGCGAGAUGACACGGAAGGCGUCAAACUGGCGAUAGCGUCAAUGUCUAUAAGAGGGUAGCUGCCGAUCUGGGUGUUAACGCGUAAUUUAUAGAAGAGAUCACUCCAGGACUCCACCUUUCCUGUUUUUCAUUGAGGCGUUCUUUCUCGAACUCAGGAACGGUUACGUGUACCUCUGUUAUCGUAUUUCGGAUAGUGGAAUGCUACAGAUAGCGGAUCUGUUUAGAUUGAGUGGUACGGUGGUCACAGCAGUUAACCAAAGUAAGGCUGGCUGCCUAACAGAAGCUACAUUAGUGUAUAAUAGGAACAGCGGAGUAACGUUUGCACGAAAAAUCUAUGCGAACGAAUCUCUGCCAACCGUUGGCUCGCCGCUACAUGAUUUGAUUAAAAAAUUUCUCAUCAACAUUUUCACACUGGAGCUGCUGGGUUAACGCAAACGACAAGGACAAACAUGCGAAGGUUUGCAAAACAAUAUAAAGGACACGCAAGACUGGAUCAUAAUUUUGGUAGCCUUUCGCUGGACAUUAAAUCAUGAGUACCGUUCUUGGGGACUAGAAGUUUGCGGAGAAAAAAUAAGCCUGCCUGACUGACGACUUCGUGGCAGAUUAGCAAUGAAAUAUUUAGAAAAUACGACGCUUCUUCCUGAAUUGACUGUCGCAGCAGGUAACCAAAUCAACGAUUACUGCCUACCUUACCAACAGUGGCCUCUGGUAGGGACUUCUUACAAGCGGCUGGCGCCUCGGAAUCACCGAAACUGCGGUCUAACAUAUUUUGUUCUCUGUCGCUUCAUGGUGCUCUUCUCUGUUAUUCUCCAUUCGUCUUUUUCUUCACUCCUAGUCUUUUCGUUGUUCAUUAUUAUAAUUAUUAUGUCUGUCUAGGCUAAUCUGGUGGUUCAAAUCAUGGUAGCGGGGGUCGGCCAUCGCAGGUUGGCUAUUACGCUACUCAUGGUUGUACAGCCCAUACGAUCAGGACUACCUGACCACGUCGAAAGUGGCAGUCUGAACCUCUACAUCCAUUGAGCUCGUUCUACUAUGCAGCAAAACGCUCCACUCCAUUCGUUGAGUCCUUCGCUAAGUUCCACUCGAGCUCGAUUUGUCCCUCGAACCAGCAGCCAGUAUAUUUAGAAAUGGCCUGGGCCUUCUUCACAGGCCAAGCCUCAGCCAUGGCAGCGCACUCGAACUAAAUCUCGGUGACUGUUUUGUCUACUCCUUUGGUGCUUAACUGGCUGGCCCGCUGGUUUGCCAACAUCCGAAGUCUAUCCCGUCCCUUCCAAGUAAAGCGCCAGGACAGCUCAUCCUGUCUACUCUGGUGAAACAAUCACAUCACAUUGUAGUACCACAAUGGCUGGUACAAGCAGUGUUUCAGGGCUUGUUAGAACGGACGCUGCGUAGGCUGACAGCGUCUGGACCGCUAUCGCCGAUGAACUGCGUACGGGUUGUUACUCAUGAUUCCGCACUGCAGCUUGCGCCGCUAAUGUUCUUGAGCCGCGAGCGGACUCUUGAAGAAUUCUUUUUGCUUGGAUGGCUUACUAACCUCACCGAUGCCCCAGCUCACUCCCUGUGAUGCCGUCCUACUGUCAUGGUAACCGUGUCCCCGCCGGGUUGCGGUCUCCAUCAUGAAGCGCAAGGCUAAAAACCCCAGCGAGAUGAACCCCGCUAGAACCGAAACCGCAAACUUGUACUCUUUGCCUAUACUAUUAUUAUAGUAGGGUUGCUCGAAGGCUAUCGUAGGGGCCUUUUCCUUAUUGGCACAGCGAUGUGGUUUCAUCGGGCUGUUACUGUCACAACUGAUUUCAACAAAUUGAGAGUAGCUAGUCAACGACUAGCAAAUUUCAAGGGGAUAAGGGAGCGAAAAUCAUGACUAUUAGCUUGCUCAGCAAUUAAACUAAUAUAUCUCUGAAGAAAAGUAGUGGCAAAGACCAGUUUCAUGCUAUCGUGAAUAGAUAUACGCAUACGCAAGCUGAUAGUCGAAAUUUUUUCCAAAUUAAAUCAGAAUUAAAUACUAUCUCUGUUAGUUAUCAGAGUAAUAUUUAAGAGCAGGGAGAAAAGUUUACAGCAGUAGUAAUAUUGUUAUUCGAAGCUAUUCUAGGCUGUUUCCUGAUUUAUUAGGGUUCGUUUAGGGGAACCUGUUUUAAUUUAUUCCUAUUUUACAUAGGUAUAAAUGCAAAGUUUCUUGGUUCAUUGGAAAGAGUAUGUACCAUCCGUACUGAAACGCAGUGGUCCAUGAAAUGCGCAUCAAGAAUUGUGUUUUGAUAAAUAUCUGAAAAGACGAAGCGAAGUAUAAAUAGUACGAGAUCGGCAAGCACCUCCUGGCACGGUCUGUGUCGUUGUCCAGUAUUUAAAUUAAAGUAAACUUGCAGGAUAUAUAGUUAGUAUAUAAAACAAGCAUAUUUUCAUUAAGUAUAUAUAAUUCAUUGAAACGAAAAGUGCGUUUAUGCGCCCAGCUAUCGGUCACAAUCCCACGCUUUGUGGUAGCUUUAAUAACUAUAGUACAUUUGAUUAAAUUUGUAAAGUUUGCUUGAUAAAGUUAUAGAGAAGUUUGAUCGCUUCUCUCUCGAAUAACGGUGAUAUGGGGGCACAUCAGUUUGGUAAUGCCCACAGCGAACGUCCCCAAUUUAAUCGUUUUUUUAGAAUUUUACAUUUAAAAAUUUCCGUUUCAUGAAAUAUGGUAACGUGAAAAUAAUUCCUGAGACGUCAGGGAAAUAGUCAAAGUCGUAAACGGUGGACACUGAGUCUAGGAAACGCUUUUAAUUUGAAGUGUUCGCUUACUAACAUCACCUCUUCAUAAAGGCUAUUUAAGGUCUCUGUGUGAGCAGCUCAAAAAGGAUUUCGACAGUACUUGGCAAUGUUGGAAAUUUUUCUAACAAUACUCAAUUCUAGUUUUUAAAGAGUAGAAUGUACUUAUCAAGAAAGUUGAUCUGAAAAUACUCUUGUUAUUGUAAGUUUCAAUACAGAACUUUCCAUUUAGGAAGGAACUUAGGCGCAGGGUGGGCCACCCGAGGAGUUGUAAAUGAUGAUUCGCGCCCAUUUUCUAUCCAGUGCGACCUGCUGAUUAAUGGAGAUAGCUAGAGUGGUAAUUGAAACCGAUGUCAACUUCCGCGGUCUUCCAGCGUCUUUUCUUCACUAAGCCCUAUGUCUCGCUAUCAUUUUACUCGUCUCCUUCCCUUCCGUCUCUGCUCAGCUUGUUGUUCCUUUCUCCUAUGCUAAAGCGAAAACUAUUUCCUCUUGUCAAAUGGCGGUGCGUCCUUUCCCCAAGCGUUUGCAGCCUAGUUGCAUUGCUUGUCCACCUGUUACGGCAGUCUGUCGUCGAAACCAUCGGUGGCGGACGCGGCCAAACUGUCAAGCGUCGCAGGGCAGAAAAUGUGUGGUUAUGGGAUAUUAGAGGUUGAGUUGCAGGGGAAAUCUGUUAAACGUUGCUCGCUCAGCACCUAGGUCCGUCUGCUGCGUGCGAUCCGAGGGUGGCAAGUAGCAAUAGGGCCAACUCCAUUGAACUCUCUCCGUCCUAGAGAAAACGAAGGUAGUAGCCGUUGCUCUAAUACUUAUCAUUCUUCCAUUUAUAGUAGAAACUGCAUCAGUUGUCGAACGGACCAGUUGUUUCCUCUACUAUGGCACCCAUCUUUGCCUACACGCUAUUCCACUGAGUGGUUCCGCCUGGCGUGAGCAUAUGCAGUGCACUGGCAGCAGCAAAGUUACUACAUACGAACCUAUUACUAGCAGGAACAAGAAAAAUACUGCUAAUGGGCAGGUCUCCGUUACCACCAUCGUCCAUUACAUGGUGCGGUUACAAGGUUAUUUCCUCCACCCGUCACGUCAACUAGAAAGUCAGCCAAACAACCAGAAACAGAAUGCAUAACUCCGGAUAAGUGGUAACCAGAGCUGGCUUGAGGAAAAUUCCUCUUAUAUCUAUGCGUACUUAGAUAGACUGCAUGUGGAAUCACAAGCCACAGGCAAUGAUAGGCACUCUAAAUGUGCUCGUCUCUGUUGUCUCGUUGUGGUUCUCCUCUGGCCUCUGUGUUUGCUUCGACCUAUCCUGCAUCUGCAGGCUUGUCGACCAACGACGAGCUCUGUUCAUUGACGAGUCUAGUGCCCUAAUCGCUGCGACACCCUGCGGAUAGCGUCCUCAACACAAGCUGAUCGGCGAUGUGUGAGGUCGUGACUAAUGAAUGUGGUGUGUGUAUUGGUCUGCUUAUGUCUCAACGAAACAACGCGACUCGUGCUGUCCGCCAUUGACUAGCAGCUGGGCUGUUUUGUUGAGCUUCGUAUGACUGUGCCUGCAUUGAUCUGAACGCGCAUCCGAGACAACGUUGCCGCCGCUGCAGCGACCGUGUCGUCCUAAUCCUGGUCGCUGCCUCCUACGCGGCCUGGGCCAGUCUCAUUAGAAACGGCUGGGUGCGUUCGUCCGGCAGACUGGAAUGACGCUGGCGUCUGGAAGAGCUGCGAUCGCUAGCCGCUAGUUGCAGAUGAGGAGGUAUUUGCUACAAAGCCCUUGGAGACGUCGAUGGCUGGCGAAGACGAAUACUACUUGUGCGAUGCAACUGGCGCUCGGUGUCUUUUCUCCCACGGAAACAGUUUCUCCCAAAGACACCCACUGUGAUUUAGCCAGUUAGUCAGCGCUAAAAAUCGGUCUGAUGUAAGUUCGCGAUGCCUUCGACCACAAUGUCGUCGUCUUCUUCUUCUUUAACUUAAACUUAACUACACAAUUAUCUUUUGUAAUCAAAUUUGGAGGGAACUUUACGGCGUAACUUUCUCGAUAAUGCAACUGUGCUGUAUUAGAAUUAAUCUGAAAAUUUGUUAAAGAAAGACUUGAGACCAUUACGAUACGUAACAGAUAUACGUAUCUCUGCCAGACAACAAUAUAUAAUUACAACAAACCAAUACUAAUCAACGCGAUAAUCGUUGAGAGAGCAUGAAAAGACUCCCAUAAAAAUAUUAUAGGGUGACCAUUAAGGAGUA
RNAcentral lists this long non-coding RNA (5442 nucleotides) under Varroa destructor (honeybee mite). RNAcentral's name for it is "uncharacterized LOC111253407, transcript variant X3". The record is from RNAcentral. Lineage: Eukaryota; Metazoa; Arthropoda; Arachnida; Mesostigmata; Varroidae.